UGGGGAGGGAGGGAAGGGGGAUAAUUUAUUUUUUAAAUAAGGCUGAAGACAUGAAGUCUGGUCAAUGUUUGGCAAGGAGAGGAAAGUUGGGAACGUCCCUGCGCUGCACCCGGGGCUGGGGGCAGGGAGCAGCAGAGGGGGUCCGCGGAGUUGGGAGAGCGGUGUCUGCUUCUCCCAGACUGCCCCUGGCAGAAGGGGUGGCUUGGAGCCAGCCGGUGGAGGGGAGAGGGGGGCAGAGCGUGUGCACCCCUCUUCUCCCCUUAUUCCCGGUACUCCCUGAGCUCUCGGCAGCAGCGGCCUCCGCCUCCCUGGCACCUUGGGGCUCGGGGCCCAGGCCUGUUUCAGGGGUCUGGGGGGGCUGGGGCUGGGCUCCCUUGGGGCCUGGGUCUCUUCCUCACCUUUCCUUAGCAAGGUCUGAGGCUGGCCUGGUGCCCCCUGGGCACGGCAGAGCCGUCUGCCAGCCCCCAUCCUGUCUGGCUCUGGGGGAGCCUAUCACCAGCUCCUUCUCUUAGCCCAGCCCAACCCCGACCCAGCAGGAACCUGGUCCAGGGGGUCUCCUCCCACCUUCAGCCCGGCCAGGAGCCCUCUGUGAGCCUUCGGUGAGGCCGACCCACUGACCUGGUCUAGCAGCCCUGCUGUGUCUCCCCGUCGGUCUUCCUGCCACAAGGUCAGGCUCUGAGAAGCCAAGGUACACCUUCUUGUGGUAUUUAGUAACGUGCAAAACCCCUGUUUGGCUCUUCCGGGGAGACACAGACCAGAAGGCCCUGGGGGCCCUGGGCGGAAGCUCUGCCUGCCCCGGCACCGGCCCCCCUGAGCCCUGGUUGGAUCUCUCCAGAAGGUCCUAUGGUCACAGCCAGAGCUCCCACAAGGGGGCUUCUCAGCCCUGGCCUGGGUUAUGCCUCGGCCUCUCAGGAGUCCCCAAAGCAGGGCACCCCCAGCUCCUUGUAGGGACUCCUGAGCUUGGGGAGACUGGGAAACCUCCACAUGGGGCCCUCAGAUUGUGAGGAAGCGGGGUGCUUCCACCAGGCACAGCAGCCAGACGGGGCCCUUAAAAUCUGGACCCUCAGGGUCCCUGCAGGUGCAGCCCAGAGGGACCCAAAUGGCCUGAAGACAGGUGGUCACAAGCAAUAGCCCUCACCUUUAGCAGCAUUGGGAGGGGUCAAGGCCGGCUGGCCCUUCCCCCCUGGCAGAGCCCAGCCCAGCCCCAGGACCGGGGUGCUGCAUCCCAGAGUCCCUCAGCUCCAAGGCGGCCCCAGGGGGCAGAGCCUAGUCUGCUGGAGAUGGCUGGUCAGCCCCCUCCCUCAGCAGGGAAGCCCCUGACGGGGCUCUCACUACCUCUCUGGCGCUGCCCAGCAUGCAGCGGGCAUUCCCUUAGCCCUCAGGAGGCCAUAUUGUAGCACCAUCUCCUGAGGCAGCCUGGGAGUCUCUUGGACAAGGCCCACUCCCAUGGGAGAAAGUGUUCCAUCAAAUGCUGCCCACCCCCACCCCCAUACCACUGCAGGGCGGGUCCGGCCCGCUGAAAUCCUGGCAGGCCGAGGUCAGGGGAAACCCCUCCCUCCCCAUUCUCUGGAAGGUCUUCAGUGAUCUCACUGGUAGUGAGAGGCUGCUGGGGAUCCCAGUGCCCAGAAGGAUGGACAUUCGAGCCUGGCUCCGUCACUUACCAGCUGUGUGACCAAUGGCCAAUCACCCUCUCUGAGCCUCAGUUUCCUCAUCUGAAAAAUGGGGAUAUUCAAUACACCUACCUCCCAGCGUUAUUGUGAGAUAAUAUUUAUAAAGCCCUUAGCACUGUGCCUGGCACAUAGUCGGAGCUUAAUAAAUGCUUGUUUCCAUCCUUCCUUCCUUUAUAUAUAAUACAAUUAGAGUAGUAUUGCAAUCAAAAGUGUUACAGACAGCCCAAGACCAGGAGGGUUCUUUAACUCCUCUGUAAGGGAGAAAAUACAAAAAGUUUCGAUUUCUGCUAUAAAAAAAAAUUUAAAGUUGUUUCAAAUUUUAAAAGUCUCUUCUGGUCAGCCAAAAUGGGCCUUCUCCCUGCCCCUCUCCCCACUUGAGAAUGUGAGAAAAAUUGGGGCAGCAGAUGCCGCAGUGGAUAGAGCACCAGCCCUGAAGUCAGGAGGACUUGAGUUCAAAUCUGGUCUCAGUCACUUACCACGUGCUAAGUGUGACCCUGGGCAAGUCACUUAACCCCAAUUGCCUCAGCAAAAAAAAAAAAAAAAAAAGAAAAGAAAAAAGAAAUAAAGAAAAGAGAAGAGAAGAGAAUGUGAGAAAAGUAAAACCAGCAAACAUGUAUGGCCAAUCAAAACUGAUGUCCACCUUGUCCGUGUCCAGGAAAUUGUCUCCUCCUCCAUUUUGAGUCCCUCACCACUACCCAGGAAGUAAGAUAACAUGUUCAUUCUUCCCCUGGAAUCCUCAAUGCUCUUCACAUUGAUAAGUGUUCAGUACAGUGGUGUCCAGAUCUGCUUUUCUGUCCGUUCUCCACUUUAUGGGCAUGUCCUCAGAUUCCCAUUCCUUGCCACAUCAAGGAAUGGUCGUGUUUGUGCAUCAUUCUGUCUGAGCUAUCCCUUCCUUAACCUCCCCUUUAAUUCCUCCUCUCCCCUUCUCCAAGGGCCCUCUUAUUUUUUUGGUGAGCAAAAUGAACCCAACAGUGUUGUGUGUGUGUGUGUGUGUGUGUGUGUGUGUGUGUGUGUGUGUGAGUGUGUGUGAGUAUGUAUGUGUGAGUGUGUGUGUGUGUGUGUGUGAGUGAGUGAGUGAGUGUGUGUGAGUGUGAGUGUGUGUGUGUGUAUGAGUGUGUGAGUGAGUGUGUGUGUGUGAGUGUGAGUGUGUGUGUAUGAGUGUGUGUGAGUAUGUAUGUGUGAGUGAGUGAGUGUGUGUGUGAGUGUGAGUGUGUGUGUGUAUGAGUGUGUGAGUGACUGUGUGUGUGUGUGAGUGUGAGUGUGUGUGUGUAUGAGUGUGUGAGUGACUGUGUGUGUGUGUGAGUGUGAGUGUGUGUGUAUACCUGUAAGAGUAAUAGUCAUGUCUCGACCAUUCCCCUCCUUCCUUCUUCCUUGUAAGAAUAUCUGCUUGUGAGCUCCGACCAUGUGAGAUAAUUGUCCCGGCCUUCCCUUCCCCUCCCCACUCCCUCUUCCCCUUUCCCCCUUCAUUCUUUACUUGGGAGCAUCAAGACGGAAUAAAAUCACUCCCAGGCCUUUUCUGAUCUGAUUCUCUCCAGGAGCCAGAUGACAGAGAUCCAAAGGGACAUGUGGCGUUUCCCCAUAUUUGAAUGUAAACAUUAUGAGCAACGUAGGCCUUGGUCAUCGGCCAUUCACAUUUACUUUUUUUAUGUUACUCUUCACUCCUCUGUUCAGAGUUUGUCACUCUGGGCUUUUCAUCAGGAAUGCUUAGAAGUCACCUGUUUCAUUAAGUCACCUUUCCCCCUGAAGGAUCAUGCCCAGUGUUGCUGGGUAAAUUACUCUGGGCUGCAAGCAUGUUGCCAUUGUAUUCUGGAAUUUCAGAUUCCAAACUCUGCUCCUUCAAGGUGGUGGUUGCUAAAUCGUGUGCGAUCCCAACUGUAACUCCUCUUUCUUUUUAGCUCCUUGCAGUGUUUUUUUUCUUUGAUCUGGAAGUUCUGGAUUUUAGUUAUGAUGUUCCUGGGAGCUGCAGGAGGUUACAGAUGGAUUCUUUCUUUUGUGAUUUCUUUUACUAGAAUGUCUUGACUUUUUUUCCCCUGAGGCAAUUGGGGUUAAGUGACUUGUCCAGGGUGACACAGCUAGGAAGUGUUAACUAUUUGAGACCAUAUUUGAACUCAGGGCCUCCUGACUUCAGGGCUGGUGCUCUACCCACUGCACCCACUUAGCUGUCCCGAUUGUCUUGACUCUUAAAAAACAUCAUACACAUUCUUAAUUUUUUCUCUUUGAUCUAUUUUCUAGGUUGAUUGUUUUUGCUAGGAGAUACCUUACAUUUUCCUCUUUUUUUAAAAAGUGCUUUGAUUUUGUGUGAAUGUAUCUUGUUGUUUCAGGAAUCACUGGCUUCUAUUCGGUUCUUCUUAAUAUCCAGGAUGUUUGUCAUUUGGACAAGUUUUGUCUUGUGUACCAAGCUAUUAAUUCCUUUUCCCAUUCUUUCUUCCUUAGCUCUCAUUUCUUUUCUAAAUUUUUCCUCAAGUGCUCUUAUUUAUAAAAAUAUUUUUAAACUCUUGCUUCAUCUCUUCCAGGAAUUCUAGUUGAAUUUCUUCCCAAGUUAUUUUUCUCCAAGGCUUUCCUUGUGGAUGUUUAAUCAUUCUCUUCUAGAUUUGUGUCUCGAGUUUCUCUGAUACAUGAGAGGAUUCUUUUUUGUUAUUUAUUGGCCCGUUCUUCCCGUCUACUUUCAGACUUGAGACUUUAUGUCUGUGAUUGGCUCUGCUGCACUUGAGCAGGAGAAGUCUGGACUAGUCCUGUUCCUGCUCUUUUGGGGUUCAGAACAUUAUGUUAUUCCAGAAUCUUGGGGACGGACCGGAGCCCUGCCAGCUUUUGGUACUCCCAGAGUCUGAUCCAGGCAAAGACGGCUGCCCCCUGCCUUUGUCUGAGCUCUGACUUGGGACUAAAAGGAGACUGCUCUGGACUCAGCUCCUGUACAUCAGCCGGAGAGUGCUUUGGUUCAGAGCAGCAAUAUUAUGGUUCCCCCUUAGUCUGGGAUCCCCCCCGUAAGCUCUAGACCAAAGUCUGUUCGGUCACUCCGGGCUCACACGAGCCAUGCUCGUUGUCUGGCCAGCUGGGAGAGGAAGGGUUUCAGUCAUCAAUAACGGAGUUCACCAGUCAUUGUCCGCCGCUCUAUGGGCCGUGCUGUGGAAGGGGGAUGCUCCUUAUCCGGCUUGAUCCCUGAGGGCAGGAGGGGGACCAACAGGGGGAAGUUACUCAAAUCUCAACAGAAAUAAAAAAAUGACCCAGGCUGCUGUGGGGUAGUGAGCACCCUACCAUUAGAGGUACUUGGGCAGGGACGAGAUGGCCACUUUCCAGACAGAAAAUUCAUCUACCGUUCAGUGGAGAGGAUUAAAUAUCAGUAGCUGGCAGUGUACUUCUCACAACCGUCCUAGCAAGUAGACAAGGCAAGAAGGCAUUUAUUAAGAAAGCACUUGUUACGUGCCAGGCCCUGGGAUACAAGUGCGAGCCAAAACCCAACAUUCCCUGCCUUCAAAGAGCUCAUGCUCUAAUUGGGGAAAAUACACAGAAGUUAAGUAGAAAUCAUGAAAGUGAAGGGGUUUGGGGCUGGAAGUAAAGGCUGUAAGUGGAAAGUACAGACUUAGUGAAAUAAUUCAGUGAUAACAGUGAGGGGGAUAAAGUUUGGUCCGGUCCUUCCCCAAAAUAGAGGCCCCAGGAGAGACUCACACAUGGGAAAGCAGGGCCAACAUGGUGGAAGGAUGUUUUAGGGUGGAGGCCCAUGGUCUGAGAUUUCAGGGAGCGGCCAUCUUUGCCUGGAUCAGACUCUGGGAGUACCAAAAGCUGGCAGGGCUCCGGUCCGUCCCCAAGAUUCUGGAAUAACAACGUUCUGAACCCCAAAAGAGCAGGAACAGGACUAGUCCAGACGUCUCCUGCUCAAGUGCAGCGGAGCCAGUCACGAACACAAAGUCUCAAGUAGUGCAGGUAUUAUUCUGUUUUAUAGAUGAAAAGUCCGAAGCUCAAAGACUUUGAAUGUCACACAGCUGGUGAGUGGAAGUUACAACCCAAACUCUUGCCAACAGGGGCUCCGCUGUAAGCCGCUGACUUUCCCAUAUGUCUUCUAGAGCUAGAGAUUCCAGCUCUUACUUUCUGACGACUCCAACCCAUAAAGAAGAGGGAGCUGGGCAGUGAAUCGAGGGAAAGAUGUGCUUGCCGUUGGGAUAGCCAAGUGCUCUAGCUUCCAAGUCAUCCCCAAAGGUUCCCAGAUGUGAGCACUGGAGUCAGCCAGCAUUCCUGUUACCUUCCGUCACCGCAUGGGGUCUCAUAGCCAGGGACACCCAAAGAGAGGAGCUGGGGCCUCCAGCCUGAAAUCCCAACAAUGCAAAUGUGAACAGGGAGAGCAUUUGGUGUGGAUGCACAGGGAGCUCUCUGAUGGAAGUUAAAUCUUCCCCUCUCUUCCCCCCUCCCCCCGAAGCAAUGGGGAUUCAGUGACUUGCCCAGGGUCACACAGCCAGGAAGUGUUAAAUGUCUGAGGUCAGAUUUGAACUCAGGGCCUCCUGACUUUAGAGCUGGUGCUCCAUGGAGCCAUCCAGCUGCCCCUAAAGUUUAGAUCUUAAAAAGGUUUAGUACAAAAAGGAAAGAAAGGGCACAUUCCCAGGAGAGCAGCACAGAUCUGCCAGAAUGAGAGAGGCUAUUCCAUGCUUUGUUAAAGCUUUGCUCCAAGUGCUAGAGAUGCAAAUAAAAAAAGGCAAGACAAUCCUUGCUCUCCAGCAGCUUACAUUCUAAUGGGGGGUAUCACACACAAAAAGGGGAAUCGGAAAGGUGGGCCAUGUUACAUGUACAGAGCAGCGAAAUGUGGAGACUAAUGCCCAGGAUGGACCAAAUGCAGGCACAGAAAAUCCUAAAAAUAACAAAAGGGCUUCUUUUUAGUUCUAUUGGAGACAAAAGGAAAAUUAGGAGAGACUAGGAUUGGGGAAGCUGAGAUAGCAUUCAAAAGCAAGAACUUGGACCCGUCCUUUAUUGUUUCUUUAAAAUUGGAGAAUCCCAGAAUCGGAAACUCUCUCAACCCAUUCAGGUCAACCCCUUCUUUGCAAGGACCGGUCCUCGAGAGUGGCCUGGGCCAUUUUUUGCCCAGGAUCACUUUUUGCUCAGGGUCACUUGGAUAUGAAACCUCAAACCUGAAUAUCCCUGGCUUUGGAACCCACUCUCCAUCGUGCAACCCUAAUUCACAAAAACAAGCUGAAUUCUUCAGAUCCAGUUGAGUUCUCAUUUUUCUGUCAGUCUUUAAGCUGUAAACAGUAGAACAAACACGGUUUAAAAACAAAUUGGAACCUAAGAAAGGAGCAAAGAUACUAAGCCCCUUUCAUUGAGAUCUGGUCACGUGCCUCUAUGAACUGCAUUUCCACCACAAACACUCGAUUGUCAUGAAUGCUUUCUGGCAAAGAAACCUACUAUGUCUCUGACUCUGGAUUCUAGAGAGUCCCCUGAGGGGGUAAUUUCUCUUGGCUCUAGCCCCCAUUAGCCCGGCUUUCCCCACUUUGAGGGGCCAAUUUCUAGCACCUUAGUUGCAUAAGUCAAUAAGCAGUUAAGUAUCUACACUGUACCAGGUGCUUUGCUAAAUAUGGGGGGGGGUACAAAGAAAGGGGCAAAAAACCAGUUCUUGUGUUCAAGGAACUUGAGGUUUAGUGGGGGUUUGAGGGGAGAGUAGCUGGGUAGGGACAAACUAAGUAUAGGAUAAAUUGGGGAUAAGCCCUGUUUGAUGGACUGGCUGCAAAAACCCAUCCGUUAGGUACCACUGAACCUUCACAUGAUAUGAAUGAUGAAAUGGGGGACGGCAAAGAAGCCAGCCUUGUAUUCACUAGAAGGCACAUGGUGCCCUUGGGGGGUGGGGAGGCUUCCCAACCUGGAAUGUCAUCUUCAGAGGAGGAUAAUGAAAAGGGAGAUGACCCAAAACACCAGGCUGAAGCUGGCCGAAGUUCCACCCCCUCUCCGCCCCAAUAUCAGCUCCACAGCCUCUCCUAGCUACCUGGUGGUCUGGGGUCGAGGGUCUUCUUUGGCCCCAAUCCCACCACACCCCAUCAGCUGAGCCUCUUGAUGGGGUCGCUACCCACACUAUUCGCCAUUACAAGCAAAGAUGCUAUAAUGAAGUAUUUUAUUUUUCCACAAUUAAAUGUAAAAACCAUUUUUAACAUCCAUUUUUAAAACUUUGAGUUCCAAAUUCUCAUUGAGAAGGCAGGCAGUUCAAUAUAGGUUAUACAUGUGUAGUCAUGCAAAGCGUAUUUCCAUAUUAGUCAUAUUGUGAAAGAAAACACAAAAAAAAACCCUCAAGAAAAAUAAAGUUAAAAAAAAAGCAUGCUUCCGUCUGUAUUCAGGCACCAUCUAUUCUCUCUCUGAAUGGGAUGGCAUUUUUCGUCCUAAGUGCUUCAGAGUUGUCUUGGCUCACUGAAUUGCUGAGAAUAGUCAUUCACAGCCGAUCAUCUUCCGAUAUUGCUUUUACUUUGGACACGUUGCAUUGCCUUUUGCAUCAACCCGUGUAAGUCCAGGUUUUCCUGAGAGCAAUGCGCUCAUCUUUUCUUCUAGCACAUUAGUAUUCCAUCACAAUAUAUACCACAAUUUGUUCCGCCGUUCCUAGUUGA
Long non-coding RNA from Sarcophilus harrisii (Tasmanian devil), 8239 nucleotides. NCBI's taxonomy places the organism in Eukaryota, Metazoa, Chordata, Mammalia, Dasyuromorphia, Dasyuridae. The record is from Ensembl.